AGAUUAAGUUAUUAAGGGCGCACGGUGGAUGCCUUGGCACUAGAAGCCGAUGAAGGACGUUACUAACGACGAUAUGCUUUGGGGAGCUGUAAGUAAGCUUUGAUCCAGAGAUUUCCGAA
Molecule: ribosomal RNA, 119 nt
Filed under: Staphylococcus aureus
Lineage: Bacteria; Bacillati; Bacillota; Bacilli; Caryophanales; Staphylococcaceae
Description: partial 23S ribosomal RNA
Rfam family: Bacterial large subunit ribosomal RNA
Source: RNAcentral